CGAGGGGCAGCAUGGUCUUAGCUUGCUAAGGCCGAUGGCGACCGGCGCACGGGUGAGUAACACGUAUCCAACCUGCCGUCUACUCUUGGACAGCCUUCUGAAAGGAAGAUUAAUACAAGAUGGCAUCAUGAGUCCGCAUGUUCACAUGAUUAAAGGUAUUCCGGUAGACGAUGGGGAUGCGUUCCAUUAGAUAGUAGGCGGGGUAACGGCCCACCUAGUCUUCGAUGGAUAGGGGUUCUGAGAGGAAGGUCCCCCACAUUGGAACUGAGACACGGUCCAGACUCCUACGGGAGGCAGCAGUGAGGAAUAUUGGUCAAUGGGCGAGAGCCUGAACCAGCCAAGUAGCGUGAAGGAUGACUGCCCUAUGGGUUGUAAACUUCUUUUAUAAAGGAAUAAAGUCGGGUAUGGAUACCCGUUUGCAUGUACUUUAUGAAUAAGGAUCGGCUAACUCCGUGCCAGCAGCCGCGGUAAUACGGAGGAUCCGAGCGUUAUCCGGAUUUAUUGGGUUUAAAGGGAGCGUAGAUGGAUGUUUAAGUCAGUUGUGAAAGUUUGCGGCUCAACCGUAAAAUUGCAGUUGAUACUGGAUAUCUUGAGUGCAGUUGAGGCAGGCGGAAUUCGUGGUGUAGCGGUGAAAUGCUUAGAUAUCACGAGGAACUCCGAUUGCGAAGGCAGCCUGCUAAGCUGCAACUGACAUUGAGGCUCGAAAGUGUGGGUAUCAAACAGGAUUAGAUACCCUGGUAGUCCACACGGUAAACGAUGAAUACUCGCUGUUUGCGAUAUACAGCAAGCGGCCAAGCGAAAGCGUUA
RNAcentral lists this ribosomal RNA (807 nucleotides) under uncultured bacterium. RNAcentral's name for it is "bacterial SSU rRNA". It matches the Rfam family "Bacterial small subunit ribosomal RNA", at positions 63 to 862 of the family's 1533-position model. The record is from RNAcentral.